This is a non-coding RNA of Ornithorhynchus anatinus (platypus), 960 nucleotides long. Lineage: Eukaryota; Metazoa; Chordata; Mammalia; Monotremata; Ornithorhynchidae. The record is from the annotation of a RefSeq genome assembly.
AGGACACCUAUCCCUGCAGCCCUGGGAGAAGAGCCCCAGCCCUUCUGUCUGUGCUGAACCCCUCCUGCCCACAGAACUGUCCCCACAGCCCCCACCAUGCAGUCUGCCCUCACAGUGGUUUCCAUCCUGACCCUGCUUCAAGGUGUUCAGGGUGAUGUCCAGCUGGUGGAGUCCGGUGGAGACCUGAGACAGCCCGGGGGGUCUCUGCGCCUCUCCUGUAAAGCCUCCGGAUUCUCCUUCAGUAGUAGCAACUACGGAAUGAGCUGGGUCCGCCAGGCUCCAGGGAAGGGGCUCGAGUGGGUUGCCAUUAUAUAUACUAGCAGUGGCAACGCAUACUAUGCAGACUCUGUGAAAGGCCGAUUCACCAUCUCCAAGGACAACGCCAACAGCCUGGUGAAUCUGCAGAUGAACAGCCUGAAAACCGAGGACACGGCCCUUUAUUACUGUGCGAGAGACACAGUGAGAGAAACCACAUCCUGAACCUGUCAGAAACCCUGGGAGGAUUCCUGGGCUGCAGCUGCCUGGGGGAGCAGAGCAGCAGAGACCACAGACAACAGCCCCAGCCUGGAUUUCCCAUCUUCCAUCUCAUUGAUUACUAAAACCCCCUGAUAUUAGACAUUCUAACAUUUGAACAAGAAGUAAACCUUUUACUAUUUUCCUCUUAAGGGUGAAACAUUCCUUAAGAAUUUCUCCUCUGUUCAAUUUCUAUUUAAGCAUAUUUAUUUUCUGAUGCUCAAAUGAAACAACAAAAGACUGAAAAUCAAAAAUUCUGAAAUAGGAGAGAGUCCAGUGAUUCAUCAUGGUAUGGAAGCUAUUGUUACUAAUGAAACACAUCCUAAGAACACAUUUAAUCAACUUUACUAAUGAAUACUGCACCUUUCUUCUCUGAAUUUCACCUAAUUUUGAGAUGGUCUCUCUCAGAAGGGCAUGUAGAGCUAGAAGCAGAAAGUGUGAGAGAGU